GGGGCGAGGGAGGAAGUGAGGAAGGAGCCAGAGCUGCAGCUGAAAUGAGCUGAUGGAUCCUUGCUCCCUCCACACCUCCAGAUUCGGGAGCUUGUUCCA
This is a microRNA precursor of Bos taurus (domestic cattle), 99 nucleotides long. The record is from Ensembl. Lineage: Eukaryota; Metazoa; Chordata; Mammalia; Artiodactyla; Bovidae.